CAUUUGCAUAAAAGUAAAAAAGAGUUUAGCAUUGCCUUUGACAAGGACGGAAGAGUCACCCUUGCCUAACAACAUCCACACAUAUAAGGUAUCACCAGCCACUUUUGGUGACUUGGACUCAGCAAGACAUAU
Mus pahari (shrew mouse) is the source of this 132-nucleotide small nuclear RNA. The record is from RefSeq and is a predicted model, not a curated record. Lineage: Eukaryota; Metazoa; Chordata; Mammalia; Rodentia; Muridae.